GCCAUGUGGCUCAGUGGCAGAGCAUCAGCUUUGCAUGCAAAAGGUCCCAGGUUCAAUCCCUGGCCUCUCCA
Non-coding RNA from Podarcis lilfordi (Lilford's wall lizard), 71 nucleotides. NCBI's taxonomy places the organism in Eukaryota, Metazoa, Chordata, Lepidosauria, Squamata, Lacertidae. The record is from the annotation of a GenBank genome assembly.